Molecule: ribosomal RNA, 427 nt
Filed under: uncultured bacterium
Lineage: Bacteria
Description: bacterial SSU rRNA
Rfam family: Bacterial small subunit ribosomal RNA
Source: RNAcentral
UAACGAAUCUUCCGCAAUGCACGAAAGUGUGACGGAGCGACGCCGCGUGGAGGACGAAGUUCUUCGGAAUGUAAACUCCUGUCAGGGGAAAGAAAGUUCUGAUCUACCCCAGAGGAAGAGGCGGCUAACUCUGUGCCAGCAGCCGCGGUAAUACAGAGGCCUCGAGCGUUAGACGGAAUCACUGGGCUUAAAGCGUGUGUAGGCGGAAGGGUAAGUACCUUGUGAAAUCCCACGGCUUAACCGUGGAACGGCUUGGUAUACUGCUUUUCUUGAGCAAUCUAGGGGCGAGUGGAACAGAUGGUGGAGCGGUGAAAUGCGUAGAUAUCAUCUGGAACGCCAAUGGUGAAGACAACUCGCUGGGGAUUUGCUGACGCUGAGACACGAAAGCCAGGGGAGCGAACGGGAUUAGAUACCCAUGUAGUCCCUG